This 364-nucleotide ribosomal RNA is filed under the name uncultured bacterium. Its description in RNAcentral is "bacterial SSU rRNA". It matches the Rfam family "Bacterial small subunit ribosomal RNA", at positions 29 to 377 of the family's 1533-position model. The record is from RNAcentral.
AACGAACGCUGGCGGUGUGCCUCAUACAUGCAAGCCGUACGCGAAUCCUGCCGCAAGGCAGGGUUUGAGUGGCAAACGGGUGCGUAACACGUAGGUAAUCUUCCUUUGAGUUGGGAUAAGCCCUCGAAAGGGGUCUAAUACCGAAUAACACUUCGGGCCGGCAUCGGCCUGAAAUUAAAGAUGGCCUCUGCUUGCAAGCUAUCGCUCGGAGAUGAGCCUGCGGCCGAUUAGUUAGUUGGCGGGAUAAAAGCCCACCAAGACUUCGAUCGGUAGCCGGUCUGAGAGGAUGUCCGGCCACACUGGGACUGAGAUACGGCCCAGACUCCUACGGGAGGCAGCAGUAGGGAAUAUUGCGCAAUAGCCG